GAUGAACGCUGGCAGAAUGCCUAAUACAUGCAAGUCUUUGGCGAAGCCGUGCUUGCACAGCCUAGCCAAGGCGGACGGGGGAGUAAAGCGUAAGGAACUUGCCCUGCCGUUAGGGAUAACAUAAGGAAACGAAUGAUAAGAUCAUGCAAAAUCAGGUGGACACCAGUCCAGCCCGGUGAAAAGAGAUGCUGCAGGAGAGCCUUGUGGCCUAUUAGCUUGUUGGUGGGGUAACGGCCCACCAAGGCGAUGAUAGGUAGCCGGCCUGAGAGGGUGGACGGCCACAAGGGGACUGAGAUACGGCCCUUACUCCUACGGGAGGCAGCAGUGGGGAAUAUUGGACAAUGGGGGCAACCCUGAUCCAGCAAUUCUGUGUGCACGAUGAAGGUUUUCGGAUUGUAAAGUGCUUUCAGCAGGGAAGAAAAAAUGACGGUACCUGCAGAAGAAGCGACGGCUAAAUACGUG
RNAcentral lists this ribosomal RNA (462 nucleotides) under uncultured bacterium. RNAcentral's name for it is "partial 16S ribosomal RNA". It matches the Rfam family "Bacterial small subunit ribosomal RNA", at positions 28 to 507 of the family's 1533-position model. The record is from RNAcentral.